RNAcentral lists this ribosomal RNA (252 nucleotides) under uncultured bacterium. Its description in RNAcentral is "partial 16S ribosomal RNA". It matches the Rfam family "Bacterial small subunit ribosomal RNA", at positions 524 to 776 of the family's 1533-position model. The record is from RNAcentral.
UACGUAGGGGGCUAGCGUUGUCCGGAAUCAUUGGGCGUAAAGCGCGCGUAGGCGGCCGGUAAGUCCGCUGUGAAAGUCAAAGGCUCAACCUUUGAAUGUCAGCGGAUACUGCCAGGCUAGAGUCCGGAAGAGGCGAGUGGAACUCCUGGUGUAGCGGUGGAAUGCGCAGAUAUCAGGAAGAACACCAAAGGCGAAGGCAGCUCGCUGGGACGGUACUGACGCUGAGGUGCGAAAGCGUGGGGAGCGAACAGG